AAGGCUUGACAUACAUCGGAAGACUGCAGAGAUGUGGUUGCCUUCGGGUCGGUGUACAGGUGGUGCAUGGUU
This 72-nucleotide ribosomal RNA is filed under the name uncultured Actinomycetes bacterium. RNAcentral describes it as "uncultured actinobacterium partial 16S ribosomal RNA". Lineage: Bacteria; Bacillati; Actinomycetota; Actinomycetes. The record is from RNAcentral. RNAcentral also lists the same sequence under 1 other name.